RNAcentral lists this microRNA (21 nucleotides) under Chrysemys picta bellii (western painted turtle). RNAcentral's name for it is "Cpi-Mir-1677-P1b_5p* (star (passenger))". Lineage: Eukaryota; Metazoa; Chordata; Testudines; Emydidae. The record is from RNAcentral.
UCCUGGUUCCACUGAAAUAAU